Molecule: ribosomal RNA, 484 nt
Filed under: uncultured bacterium
Lineage: Bacteria
Description: partial 16S ribosomal RNA
Rfam family: Bacterial small subunit ribosomal RNA
Source: RNAcentral
AUUGAACGCUGGCGGCAGGCUUAACACAUGCAAGUCGAGCGGUAAAAGGCCGCUUGGUCCUGGAGUGAGCGGCGCGGGGGAGAGAAAUACCGAGAAAUGUGCCGGGGAGGGGGGGAAAACGGCCGGAGACGGGCGCUAAUAGCACAUGCGCUGAGGGGGAGAGAGGGGGGGCACGUCGGAACGUUUGGCAUCACAUGACUCGAGGUCCGAUUAGCUAGUUGGUGGGGUAAAGGCCUACCAAGGCGACGAUCCGUAGCUGGUCUGAGAGGAUGAGCAGCCACACUGGGACUGAGACACGGUCCAGACUCCUACGGGAGGCAGCAGUGGGGAAUUUUGGACAAUGGGCGCAAGCCUGAUCCAGCCAUGCCGCGUGCGUGAAGAAGGUCUUCGGAUUGUAAAGCGCUUUUGUUCGGGACGAAGAGCCUUUGGCUAAUACCUUGCUGUGUUGACGUUACCGUAAGAAUAAGCACCGGCUAACUACGUG